UCGUAUAUUUUUUUUUCAUCGCUGCGUACGGUCGGAUUGAGUAAGCAUGAUGUGCACAUGCGCGGUAAGCCGUUGUGCGGGUUUUCGUUGCUUUGUAAGGCGAAUCGUAAUCAUUUAUAAGGGCAGCUAUUAGCCGAGGUUGACAGGUAUGCAGACACUCAAUUAGGGAG
Molecule: long non-coding RNA, 170 nt
Organism: Hippocampus comes (tiger tail seahorse)
Lineage: Eukaryota; Metazoa; Chordata; Actinopteri; Syngnathiformes; Syngnathidae
Exons: 4
Source: RefSeq, a predicted model, not a curated record